Molecule: ribosomal RNA, 253 nt
Filed under: uncultured bacterium
Lineage: Bacteria
Description: partial 16S ribosomal RNA
Rfam family: Bacterial small subunit ribosomal RNA
Source: RNAcentral
UACGGGGGGAGCAAGCGUUGUUCGGAUUUACUGGGCGUAAAGGGCGCGUAGGCGGGGAGGUAAGUCGGGUGUGAAAUCCCUCGGCCCAACCGAGGAACUGCGCCCGAGACUGCUUCUCUUGAGUCCCGGAGAGGAAGAUGGAAUUCCCGGUGUAGCGGUGAAAUGUGUAGAGAUCGGGAGGAACACCGGUGGCGAAGGCGGUCUUCUGGACGGUGACUGACGCUGAGGCGCGAAAGCCAGGGGAGCAAACGGG